AAUAUUUUGAUUUUGAUUUUUUCAUUAUAAACAUAAAAAAUGAAUAUUAUAAUAUUUAUUAAAAAUAAAUUAAUAAAAAAUUCGAAAGUAAUAAAGUGAAAUUUUUAAUUUUAAAGUAAUGUUUAGUGAAAGUAAAACAAAAAAGGAAAAAAAAAAUAACUAUAAAAGUGAGUAAUUCUCAUUAUUGAACUCUUGACCUCUUGCCCUCAAAAUCCCUUAUCUAUGUACUAU
This 231-nucleotide long non-coding RNA is filed under the name Lathyrus oleraceus (garden pea). Its description in RNAcentral is "Pisum sativum (pea) long non-coding RNA (PSAT_LNC005133)". The record is from RNAcentral. Lineage: Eukaryota; Viridiplantae; Streptophyta; Magnoliopsida; Fabales; Fabaceae.